AUCGAUUCUUGGCCUUAUGGCUGAGAUCAAGCGUAGUAUCUGUUCUUAUCAGUUAAUAUCGGAUACGUCCCCAUCUGAGAACCAUAUAUUGAAUGAAUUUUUCAGAACAGGGACCGAUUUUGAAGCUGACGUCCAUCACCCUAGGCGUGUGUUUGAUAAGGCAGUUUCUGCAGGUUCAGUGCACCCCAC
Molecule: small nuclear RNA, 189 nt
Organism: Hyla sarda
Lineage: Eukaryota; Metazoa; Chordata; Amphibia; Anura; Hylidae
Product: U2 spliceosomal RNA
Exons: 1
Source: RefSeq, a predicted model, not a curated record